GGAUGGUUGGCAGAGUUGGUUUAAUGCACUGGUCUUGAAAGCCGGCUAGGGGCGACCCUCCGUGAGUUCGAAUCUCACACCAUCCGCCA
This 89-nucleotide transfer RNA is filed under the name Gilliamella apicola. Its description in RNAcentral is "tRNA-Ser". It matches the Rfam family "tRNA". From Rfam's summary of the family: Transfer RNA (tRNA) molecules are approximately 80 nucleotides in length. Their secondary structure includes four short double-helical elements and three loops (D, anti-codon, and T loops). Lineage: Bacteria; Pseudomonadati; Pseudomonadota; Gammaproteobacteria; Orbales; Orbaceae. RNAcentral also lists the same sequence under 1 other name. The record is from RNAcentral.